GACAGAGUGAGGGAGGGAGUGGGUGACUAGUGACAGAGUGAGGAAGGGGGUGACACAAUGACAGAGUGAGGGAGGGGGUGACUAGUGACAGAGUGAAGGAAGUGAUCACUGUCACUAGUCACCUCAUCCCUCACUCUGUCACUAGUCACCCCCCCUCUCUCUCUGUCACU
This is a non-coding RNA of Pelobates cultripes (western spadefoot toad), 170 nucleotides long. Lineage: Eukaryota; Metazoa; Chordata; Amphibia; Anura; Pelobatidae. The record is from the annotation of a GenBank genome assembly.